RNAcentral lists this transfer RNA (72 nucleotides) under Ovis aries (sheep). It matches the Rfam family "tRNA". Rfam says of the family: Transfer RNA (tRNA) molecules are approximately 80 nucleotides in length. The record is from Rfam by way of RNAcentral. Lineage: Eukaryota; Metazoa; Chordata; Mammalia; Artiodactyla; Bovidae.
UCCCUGAUGGCUCAGUUGGUAAAGAAUCUGCCUGCAAUGCAGGAGACCUGGGUUCGAUUCCUGGGUUGGAAA